UCCCUGACAGUCCAGUAGUUAGGACUGUGCACUUUAACUGCCUAUGGCCUGGGUUCAGUUCCUGGACAGGGAA
This 73-nucleotide transfer RNA is filed under the name Ovis aries (sheep). It matches the Rfam family "tRNA". Rfam says of the family: Transfer RNA (tRNA) molecules are approximately 80 nucleotides in length. Their secondary structure includes four short double-helical elements and three loops (D, anti-codon, and T loops). The record is from Rfam by way of RNAcentral. Lineage: Eukaryota; Metazoa; Chordata; Mammalia; Artiodactyla; Bovidae.